UUCAUUUUUUACGUUGAAUGCCACAUGUCGUGCUUUCAUUGGAUGCUGAUUAGGUGCACAAAAUUCAAUCUCCAAUAAGAGCAUGACACGUGGUGGUCAACGUAA
Molecule: microRNA precursor, 105 nt
Filed under: Glycine max (soybean)
Lineage: Eukaryota; Viridiplantae; Streptophyta; Magnoliopsida; Fabales; Fabaceae
Description: MIR1520 microRNA precursor family
Rfam family: MIR1520 microRNA precursor family
Source: Rfam by way of RNAcentral